ACUUCUCAAGUCUCUCCAACUUUGGCAGUUGACUUGGAUUUGGAGGGUUUAUAUGCAGGCCCUUUGCUGGGUCAGCUCCUCUGAAAUGCAUUAGCGGAACCGUUUGUGAUCUGUUCCAGGUGUGAUAAUUAUCUACGCCAGUGGGGUCACUCUCUGUCCUGUUCAGCUUCCAACUGUCCUGCUUUGUGCGGACAACAAUUUACUGAAC
Molecule: unclassified non-coding RNA, 208 nt
Filed under: uncultured Agaricaceae
Lineage: Eukaryota; Fungi; Basidiomycota; Agaricomycetes; Agaricales; Agaricaceae
Description: sequence contains ITS2
Source: RNAcentral